RNAcentral lists this ribosomal RNA (467 nucleotides) under uncultured bacterium. RNAcentral's name for it is "partial 16S ribosomal RNA". It matches the Rfam family "Bacterial small subunit ribosomal RNA", at positions 28 to 507 of the family's 1533-position model. The record is from RNAcentral.
GAUGAACGCUGGCGGCGUGCUUAACACAUGCAAGUCGAACGGAAAGGCCAGUUCUUGCCCUGGUGCUCGAGUGGCGAACGGGUGAGUAACACGUGGGUGAUCUGCCCUGCACUUUGGGAUAAGCCUGGGAAACUGGGUCUAAUACCAGAUAGGACCAUGCUUUGGAUGGUGUGGUGGAAAGUUUUUUCGGUGUGGGGUGAGCUUGCGGCCUAUCAGCUUGUUGGUGGGGUAAUGGCCUACCAAGGCGUCGACGGGUAGCCGGGCUGAGAGGGUGUACGGCCAAAUUGGGACUGAGAGACGGCCCAGACUCCGACGGGAGGCAGCAGUGGGGAAUAUUGCAAAAUGGGCGCAAGCCUGAUGCAGCGACGCCGCGUGGGGGAUGACGGCCUUCGGGUUGUAAAAUACUUUCGCAACUGACGAAGCUUUUUGUGACGGUAGGUUGAGAAGAAGCACCGGCUAACUACGUG